RNAcentral lists this small nuclear RNA (112 nucleotides) under Heterocephalus glaber (naked mole-rat). The record is from RNAcentral. Lineage: Eukaryota; Metazoa; Chordata; Mammalia; Rodentia; Bathyergidae.
GUACUUGCUUCAGCAGCACACACAUAGUACUAAAACUGGAAUGAUACACAAGACAUUUGCAUGGACCCUGAACAAGAAUGACAAACAAACUCCUGAAGCAUUCCAUACAGUA